GCGAAUACCGGAGAAUGUUAUCACGGGAGACACACGGCGGGUGCUAACGUCCGUCGUGAAGAGGGAAACAACCCAGACCGCCAGCUAAGGUCCCAAAGUCAUGGUUAAGUGGGAAACGAUGUGGGAAGGCCCAGACAGCCAGGAUGUUGGCUUAGAAGCAGCCAUCAUUUAAAGAAAGCGUAAUAGCUCACUGGUCGAGUCGGCCUGCGCGGAAGAUGUAACGGGGCUAAACCAUGCACCGAAGCUGCGGCAGCGACACUGUGUGUUGUUGGGUAGGGGAGCGUUCUGUAAGCCUGUGAAGGUGGCCUGUGAGGGUUGCUGGAGGUAUCAGAAGUGCGAAUGCUGACAUAAGUAACGAUAAAGCGGGUGAAAAGCCCGCUCGCCGGAAGACCAAGGGUUCCUGUCCAACGUUAAUCGGGGCAGGGUGAGUCGACCCCUAAGGCGAGGCCGAAAGGCGUAGUCGAUGGGAAACGGGUUAAUAUUCCCGUACUUGGUGUUACUGCGAAGGGGGGACGGAGAAGGCUAUGUUGGCCGGGCGACGGUUGUCCCGGUUUAAGCGUGUAGGUGUGUGUUCCAGGUAAAUCCGGUUCACUUUAACACUGAGGCGUGACGACGAGGCACUACGGUGCUGAAGCAACAAAUGCCCUGCUUCCAGGAAAAGCCUCUAAGCAUCAGGUAACAUCAAAUCGUACCCCAAACCGACACAGGUGGUCAGGUAGAGAAUACCAAGGCGCUUGAGAGAACUCGGGUGAAGGAACUAGGCAAAAUGGUGCCGUAACUUCGGGAGAAGGCACGCUGACACGUAGGUGAAGUGAUUUACUCA
RNAcentral lists this ribosomal RNA (823 nucleotides) under Salmonella enterica. RNAcentral's name for it is "partial 23S ribosomal RNA". It matches the Rfam family "Bacterial large subunit ribosomal RNA", at positions 956 to 1772 of the family's 2925-position model. Lineage: Bacteria; Pseudomonadati; Pseudomonadota; Gammaproteobacteria; Enterobacterales; Enterobacteriaceae. The record is from RNAcentral.